This 253-nucleotide ribosomal RNA is filed under the name uncultured bacterium. RNAcentral describes it as "partial 16S ribosomal RNA". It matches the Rfam family "Bacterial small subunit ribosomal RNA", at positions 524 to 776 of the family's 1533-position model. The record is from RNAcentral.
UACGGAGGGUGCAAGCGUUAUCCGGAUUCACUGGGUUUAAAGGGUGCGUAGGUGGGCAAGUAAGUCAGUGGUGAAAUCUCCGGGCUUAACCCGGAAACUGCCAUUGAUACUAUUUGUCUUGAAUACUGUGGAGGUCAGCGGAAUAUGUCAUGUAGCGGUGAAAUGCUUAGAUAUGACACAGAACACCAAUUGCGAAGGCAGCUGGCUACACAAAUAUUGACACUGAGGCACGAAAGCGUGGGGAUCAAACAGG